RNAcentral lists this ribosomal RNA (207 nucleotides) under uncultured bacterium. Its description in RNAcentral is "partial 16S ribosomal RNA". It matches the Rfam family "Bacterial small subunit ribosomal RNA", at positions 568 to 774 of the family's 1533-position model. The record is from RNAcentral.
CAUGUAGGCGGUUUUUUAAGUUCCGGAGUGAAAAUGCGGGGCUCAACCCCGUAUGGCUCUGGAUACUGGAAGACUUGAGUGCAGGAGAGGAAAGGGGAAUUCCCAGUGUAGCGGUGAAAUGCGUAGAUAUUGGGAGGAACACCAGUGGCGAAGGCGCCUUUCUGGACUGUGUCUGACGCUGAGAUGCGAAAGCCAGGGUAGCGAACG